UAACUGAAGAGUUUGAUCAUGGCUCAGAUUGAACGCUGGCGGCAGGCUUAACACAUGCAAGUCGAGCGGGGGAAGGUAGCUUGCUACUGGACCUAGCGGCGGACGGGUGAGUAAUGCUUAGGAAUCUGC
This 129-nucleotide ribosomal RNA is filed under the name Acinetobacter baumannii. RNAcentral describes it as "partial 16S ribosomal RNA". It matches the Rfam family "Bacterial small subunit ribosomal RNA", at positions 1 to 129 of the family's 1533-position model. Lineage: Bacteria; Pseudomonadati; Pseudomonadota; Gammaproteobacteria; Moraxellales; Moraxellaceae. The record is from RNAcentral.